CACUGAAGAUGUUAAGAUGAGCCCUAGACAGCUCCGCAGGCA
RNAcentral lists this transfer RNA (42 nucleotides) under Pseudoscaphirhynchus kaufmanni (Amu Darya sturgeon). RNAcentral describes it as "partial tRNA-Phe". The record is from RNAcentral. Lineage: Eukaryota; Metazoa; Chordata; Actinopteri; Acipenseriformes; Acipenseridae.